This 321-nucleotide ribosomal RNA is filed under the name uncultured eukaryote. RNAcentral's name for it is "partial 18S ribosomal RNA". It matches the Rfam family "Eukaryotic small subunit ribosomal RNA", at positions 1470 to 1796 of the family's 1831-position model. The record is from RNAcentral.
CCCUUAGAUGUUCUGGGCAGCACGCGCGCUACACUGACAUGUUCAACAAGCCUCCUAGUUCGACAGGAUUUGGGAAAUCUUUGAACGCAUGUCGUGAUAGGGAUAGAUCAUUGCAAUUAUUGAUCUUGAACGAGGAAUUCCUAGUAAACGCGAGUCAUCAGCUCGCAUUGAUUACGUCCCUGCCCUUUGUACACACCGCCCGUCGCACCUACCGAUUGAAUGUUUCGGUGAAGAUUCCGGAUAGGACUUUUUUGAUUUAUUUCAAUUCUGUCUUAAAAGCUAUCUAAACCUCAACAUUUAGAGGAAGGUGAAGUCGUAACA